This 468-nucleotide ribosomal RNA is filed under the name uncultured bacterium. RNAcentral's name for it is "partial 16S ribosomal RNA". It matches the Rfam family "Bacterial small subunit ribosomal RNA", at positions 28 to 507 of the family's 1533-position model. The record is from RNAcentral.
GACGAACGCUGGCGGCGUGCUUAACACAUGCAAGUCGAACGGAAAGGCCCUGCUUUUGUGGGGUGCUCGAGUGGCGAACGGGUGAGUAACACGUGAGUAACCUGCCCUUGACUUUGGGAUAACUUCAGGAAACUGGGGCUAAUACCGGAUAGAAGCUCCUGCUGCAUGGUGGGGGUUGGAAAGUUUCGGCGGUUGGGGAUGGACUCGCGGCUUAUCAGCUUGUUGGUGGGGUAGUGGCUUACCAAGGCUUUGACGGGUAGCCGGCCUGAGAGGGUGACCGGCCAAAUUGGGACUGAAAUACGGCCCAGACUCCGACGGGAGGCAAGAGUGGGGAAUAUUGCACAAUGGGCGGAAGCCUGACGCAGCAACGCAACGUGCGGGAUGACGGCCUUCGGGUUGUAAACCGCUUUCGCCUGUGACGAAGCGUGAAUGACGGUAAUGGGUAAAGAAGCACCGGCUAACUACGUG